Small nuclear RNA from Trichosurus vulpecula (common brushtail), 165 nucleotides. RefSeq annotates it as U1 spliceosomal RNA. The record is from RefSeq and is a predicted model, not a curated record. The transcript has a single exon. NCBI's taxonomy places the organism in Eukaryota, Metazoa, Chordata, Mammalia, Diprotodontia, Phalangeridae.
ACACUUAGCUGGCAGGAGAGACAAUGUGAUGAUGAAGGUGGUUUAUCCCAGGGGGAGGCUCAGCCAUCCUAAGGCAGCUGGGAUGGCCCCUGCCAGUUCCCCACAUGUCUGAAAACUUGACUGCACAAUUUGUAGUAAUGGUCUUUUUCUUUGCCAUCUCCCUGU